AAUUUUGGGCAAUGGGCGCAAGCCUGACCCAGCAACGCCGCGUGAAGGAUGAAGUUUUUCGGAAUGUAAACUUCACAAGAAUGGGAAGAAUAAGAAUUGGCUAACGUCCAAUUCGAUGACGGUACCAUUUGUAAGCUCCGGCUAACUCCGUGCCAGCAGCCGCGGUAAGACGGAGGGUGCUAGCGUUGUUCGGAAUCACUGGGCGUAAAGGGCGCGUAGGCGGCUGUGGCAGUCGGGUGUGAAAGCCCGGAGCUCAACUCCGGAAUUGCACUCGAGACGCCAUGGCUGGAGGCCGGAAGAGGAGGGUGGAAUACCCAGUGUAGAGGUGAAAUUCGUAGAUAUUGGGUGGAACACCGGUGGCGAAAGCGGCUCUCUGGUCCGGACCUGACGCUGAGGCGCGAAAGCGUGGGGAGCAAAC
Molecule: ribosomal RNA, 418 nt
Filed under: uncultured bacterium
Lineage: Bacteria
Description: bacterial SSU rRNA
Rfam family: Bacterial small subunit ribosomal RNA
Source: RNAcentral